UGGCCUCGAACUCAGAAAUCCGCCUGCCUC
This 30-nucleotide non-coding RNA is filed under the name Mus musculus (house mouse). The record is from RNAcentral. Lineage: Eukaryota; Metazoa; Chordata; Mammalia; Rodentia; Muridae.